This 68-nucleotide transfer RNA is filed under the name Bos taurus (domestic cattle). It matches the Rfam family "tRNA". Rfam says of the family: Transfer RNA (tRNA) molecules are approximately 80 nucleotides in length. Their secondary structure includes four short double-helical elements and three loops (D, anti-codon, and T loops). Further hydrogen bonds mediate the characteristic L-shaped molecular structure. tRNAs have two regions of fundamental functional importance: the anti-codon, which is responsible for specific mRNA codon recognition, and the 3' end, to which the tRNAs corresponding amino acid is attached (by aminoacyl-tRNA synthetases). tRNAs cope with the degeneracy of the genetic code in two manners: having more than one tRNA (with a specific anti-codon) for a particular amino acid; and 'wobble' base-pairing, i.e. permitting non-standard base-pairing at the 3rd anti-codon position. The record is from Rfam by way of RNAcentral. RNAcentral also lists the same sequence under 5 other names. Lineage: Eukaryota; Metazoa; Chordata; Mammalia; Artiodactyla; Bovidae.
CCUGUAGCUCAGUUGGUAAAGAAUCUGCCUGCAAUGCAGGAGACCCAGAUUCAAUUCCUGGGUCAGGA